RNAcentral lists this ribosomal RNA (262 nucleotides) under uncultured archaeon. RNAcentral's name for it is "partial 16S ribosomal RNA". It matches the Rfam family "Archaeal small subunit ribosomal RNA", at positions 748 to 1008 of the family's 1478-position model. The record is from RNAcentral.
CAGCCGUAAACAAUGUGCGUUAGGUGUGUCGGUAACCACGCGUUACUGAUGCGCCGAAGAGAAAUCGUGAAACGCACCACCUGGGAAGUACGGUCGCAAAGGCUGAAACUUAAAGGAAUUGGCGGGGGAGCACCACAACAGGUGGAGCCUGCGGUUUAAUUGGAUUCAACGCCGGACAUCUCACCGGAUAAGACAGCUGAAUGAUUGUCAAUCUGAAGGUUUUACAUGACUAGCUGAGAGGUGGUGCAUGGCGUCAGUGACU